Jaculus jaculus (lesser Egyptian jerboa) is the source of this 1270-nucleotide long non-coding RNA. RefSeq lists it as uncharacterized. The transcript is spliced from 3 exons. The record is from RefSeq and is a predicted model, not a curated record. Lineage: Eukaryota; Metazoa; Chordata; Mammalia; Rodentia; Dipodidae.
GUGUGCAGGUAUAGGAUACAGGAAUACUGGUAAUGAUAAGUAACCUUGUUUUGCUCACAGACCACAGCCUGCUGCUGCUCAGAGUGCUUCCUGUGUUGUAACUGAUUUAGGAUCAUGACAGCUGUCUACAUGCAUUUCACAGUUGAGGAAACCCAGCAGGAAGAUACAGACUUCCCCUGGCUUACCAGAGUCCACGCCCAGCUGUGCCCUGCUGCCUCAGACUGCAAGGUGCAGUGUUUCUGGACCUGUGGGCUGAGCAUGAGUUUCAUCAGCCAGCCAGGGGACCAAAUGGGAGCAUUAAGCACACAAGUAGUUGCGUUUAUUCGUGUUAGAAAGCAUGGGUGGCAAAUUUGUUUUAAACAUUUGCUGAUUGAUACCCUUUAAAGAAAUUAGCCACAAAUGUUUGGAGGUGUUGGAAGCCCUAAAAUACUUCUCUGCAGGGAAAAAAAGUGCUGACUAUAGCAGGGCCCACGAGAGUCAUUCAGAAAGAGCCUCCUGGGUCACUGGCUCCCCCUGGUCCUCUGUGUCUGCUGCACUCCCCUCCUAGCAACACUUCACAGACAAGUCCUCCUUUCUCAUAGUUCUUGAAAGGCUUUCCUUCUUCCCAGAGUGCCACAGCCCAGCAAACUUCACAAGAGACGUCCGACACACAUCGCUGUGUUCUCUCAUAUGUGGUCCUGUGUUGUGGCUCUCUGCGCUCCCAGAACACAGGAAGCACAUUUGUGCCUCUAUAACUAACCCAAUAAGUGAUGAAUGGAUUUGCUAAUUAUGAAACUACUGUAUCUCCUGGGGGGGGGGGGGGGACUGUCCCCUUACUGAGCUUCUUCCUGGCUGGACUGAAGAAAAAAGCAGUGUCCCUUUGCUGGCAUGAAUUGUCCCCACCUCCUGGAGUGGAUAAGGAUGAGUCUCUCCCCUCUGCCAUGCUAAAGGCCUUUCUGCUCCAUGCUGAUCCUCCUCUGAGCCCUGCCUUUCUCUUAAUCCACAGUGUGUGUUUAAAGGCUGCUUUUAAGUCUACUGGGUAUUUGAUGUAGGAUUUAGACCCUGAAUGCAAGUACGUGGUCACUACGCUGUGAGUCUGCGGGCAGCCUUCAUCUACCUACCCAGGCAGAAGCCCUGAAGGGAGCAGCUUUGCUCUUCCAUGUACUCCCCACCAUGAUGGACGGCCCUGCCAGAGGCCAAAAGCAACGGGGUCACCUGCCUAAGGUCUGAAACCACUAUGAAAGAACAAUUUACGACCCAUAAACUAAGAUGAAGCCAGGCAACAAAGAGC